Molecule: ribosomal RNA, 386 nt
Filed under: uncultured bacterium
Lineage: Bacteria
Description: bacterial SSU rRNA
Rfam family: Bacterial small subunit ribosomal RNA
Source: RNAcentral
AAUGAACGCUGGCGGCAUGCCUUACACAUGCAAGUCGAACGGCAGCACGGGAGCAAUCCUGGUGGCGAGUGGCGAACGGGUGAGUAAUGUAUCGGAACGUACCUUUCAGUGGGGGAUAACGUAGCGAAAGUUACGCUAAUACCGCAUAUUCUGUGUGCAGGAAAGCAGGGGAUCGCAAGACCUUGCGCUGAUUGAGCGGCCGAUAGCAGAUUAGCUAGUUGGUGAGGUAAAGGCUCACCAAGGCGACGAUCUGUAGCGGGUCUGAGAGGAUGAUCCGCCACACUGGAACUGAGACACGGUCCAGACUCCUACGGGAGGCAGCAGUGGGGAAUUUUGGACAAUGGGGGCAACCCUGAUCCAGCCAUGCCGCGUGAGUGAAGAAGGCC